AUGGUGUGUAUGAAGAAAGAAUUUGGAGGCUUGGGAAUCCCAAACCUCCAAGAUGUCAACUUGUGUUUACUAGGUUCCUGGGUGAAGAGAUACUAUGAGAGUGAAGGAAAACCAUGGAAAAUGAUCUUUGAUCACAAGUACAUGUCUGGUAAGAUUAAUAUUUUUGCUCCUAACCUAUCCCCCAGUGCCUCCAGAUUCUGGAAGGGGCUGAAAACCAUUAUCCAAGCACUAAAACUUGGUUAUAGGUGGAAAGUUGGGUCGGGUGAAAAAGUUAGGUUUUGGGAAGACACCUGGUUUGGUACCUCCCCACUGGCAGUGCAAUUCUGGCCUAUCUACUCAAUUUGUAAUGAACAAACCAAUAGUGUCAGGGAAGUUUGGGAUGGUACGCAACUUAGGCUUACUUUUAGAAGGAAUUUUGAUGAUAGACUCAUGGAACAAUGGUAUCAGUUAGUGGAGAUAACCAGUAGUCUGACCCUUACCAAUGAAACUGAUGCCCUUGUCUGGCAGUUAGAGAACAGGGGGGUUUACUCCACUAGCUCACUUUACCAUGUGAUUAAUUUUAGGGGGGUGCAACCAGUCUUUAUACCUUCGGUGUGGAAGCUAAAAAUUCCACCAAAAUCCAUGUCUUCCUGUGGCUCCUUGCCAACAACAAGCUAA
Molecule: ribosomal RNA, 657 nt
Filed under: Triticum aestivum (bread wheat)
Lineage: Eukaryota; Viridiplantae; Streptophyta; Magnoliopsida; Poales; Poaceae
Description: partial small subunit ribosomal RNA
Source: RNAcentral